Molecule: ribosomal RNA, 497 nt
Filed under: uncultured bacterium
Lineage: Bacteria
Description: partial 16S ribosomal RNA
Rfam family: Bacterial small subunit ribosomal RNA
Source: RNAcentral
GAUGAACGCUGGCGGCGUGCCUAAUACAUGCAAGUCGAGCGAACAGAUGAGGCGCUUGCUCCUCUGACGUUAGCGGCGGACGGGUGAGUAACACGUGGAUCACCUACCUAUCAGACUGGGAUCACUUCGGGACACCGGAGCUAAUCCCGGAUAAUAUAUUGAACCGCAUGGUUCAAUAGUGAAAGUCGGUUUUGCUGUCACUUAUAGAUGGAUCCGCGCCGCAUUAGCUAGUUGGUAAGGUAACGGCUUACCAAGGCAACGAUGCGUAGCCGACCUGAGAGGGUGAUCGGCCACACUGGAACUGAGACACGGUCCAGACGCCUACGGGAGGCAGCAGUAGGGAAUCUGCCGCAAUGGGCGAAAGCCUGACGGAGCAAGGCCGAGUGAGUGAUGAAGGUCUUCGGAGCGGAAAACUCGGUUAUUAGGGAAGAACAAAUGUGGAAGUAACUAUGCACGUCUUGACGGUACCGAAUCAGAAAGCCACGGCUAACUACGUG